RNAcentral lists this ribosomal RNA (549 nucleotides) under Fusarium circinatum. RNAcentral describes it as "eukaryotic LSU rRNA". The stretch from base 191 to 344 matches the Rfam family "5.8S ribosomal RNA". Lineage: Eukaryota; Fungi; Ascomycota; Sordariomycetes; Hypocreales; Nectriaceae. The record is from RNAcentral.
CGUAACAAGGUCUCCGUUGGUGAACCAGCGGAGGGAUCAUUACCGAGUUUACAACUCCCAAACCCCUGUGAACAUACCAAUUGUUGCCUCGGCGGAUCAGCCCGCUCCCGGUAAAACGGGACGGCCCGCCAGAGGACCCCUAAACUCUGUUUCUAUAUGUAACUUCUGAGUAAAACCAUAAAUAAAUCAAAACUUUCAACAACGGAUCUCUUGGUUCUGGCAUCGAUGAAGAACGCAGCAAAAUGCGAUAAGUAAUGUGAAUUGCAGAAUUCAGUGAAUCAUCGAAUCUUUGAACGCACAUUGCGCCCGCCAGUAUUCUGGCGGGCAUGCCUGUUCGAGCGUCAUUUCAACCCUCAAGCCCAGCUUGGUGUUGGGACUCGCGAGUUAAAUCGCGUUCCCCAAAUUGAUUGGCGGUCACGUCGAGCUUCCAUAGCGUAGUAGUAAAACCCUCGUUACUGGUAAUCGUCGCGGCCACGCCGUUAAACCCCAACUUCUGAAUGUUGACCUCGGAUCAGGUAGGAAUACCCGCUGAACUUAAGCAUAUCAAUA